This 268-nucleotide long non-coding RNA is filed under the name Salvia miltiorrhiza (redroot sage). Its description in RNAcentral is "long non-coding RNA (SMIL_LNC009231)". The record is from RNAcentral. Lineage: Eukaryota; Viridiplantae; Streptophyta; Magnoliopsida; Lamiales; Lamiaceae.
AUUUGUUUCUAAUAUUUUUUUGUUGCAUAAUAUACAUAAUAGUGAAUUUUUGAGCCCUCUUAGUAAUAUUAUAUUAUAACACGAAUACCUUAAUUUAGAGUUUUUAUUUAAAUUUUAUUUUUAUUUUUUUUAUAUUAAAAGAAGUAUACAUUGAUGUGAAAUAUGAGAGGAUACUGAAUCUGCAAAAAAUUGGAUUAUAGUGGGGUAAUAAUACUCACUUUAUGUAUGAUUUGAUUGAACACAAAAUAAUACAGUAAACACAUAAAAU